ACAGACAGAGAAGCCAGUGGCGGAGGCCUGAGAGAAGGGGAGAAACAUCAACCUGCACAGUUAAAGAUCCAUCCAGACUGUGAAUGAUAGAAUGGCAAUAAGGUGCCCCCAGGGCAUCUUGCAAACACUGCUGCCAAGGAACAUGAGGGUGCUGGGCAGAUGUGAGGAGACUAAAGAACACCAGACGACCAGAAAGAAGAAGAUAGCAGUGAAACCAGUAAUAAUCAGAGCUAUCUGGGAUUCCAAACAAAGGGGAGGAGAACGGAAUACAGGCUAAUGAUCACAGACUCUUCGUACAUGAAAGUAGCAGUUUCAAGAAACUCACCAUCUCUAGUAAGAUGGCCAAAGAUUAUUAUGUGGCUUCCUAGAUUGAACAGAAACUUCUAACUAAUUCUUCAUUUGCUCUAAAUUUUGAAAGCACUGUCAGUAUUCUU
Long non-coding RNA from Rhineura floridana, 434 nucleotides. RefSeq lists it as uncharacterized. The record is from RefSeq and is a predicted model, not a curated record. The transcript is spliced from 3 exons. Lineage: Eukaryota; Metazoa; Chordata; Lepidosauria; Squamata; Rhineuridae.